AACAAACGCUGGCGGCAGGCCUAAUACUUGCAAGACGAACGGUAAGUUGAGUAGCAAUACUUAGCCAAGAGUGUCGUACGGGUGCGUAACACGUAUGCAACCUACCCUAUACAGGAGGAUAGCCUAGGGAAACCUGGAUUAACCCUUCAUAGUAUUAUUGGAUGGCAUCAUUUGAUAAUUAAAAACUGAGGUGGUAUAGGAUGGGCAUGCGUCUGAUUAGUUAGUUGGCGGGGUAAUGGCCCACCAAGACGAUGAUCAGUAGGGGGUUCUGAGAGGAAGAUCCCCACACUGGCACUGAGAUACGGGCCAGACUCCUACGGGAGGCAGCAGUGGGGGGAAAUAAUUUGCGCAAAUGGGCGAAAAGCCUGACGCAGCGACGCCGCGUGGGUGAUGAAGGCCUGUCGUAAGACCGU
RNAcentral lists this ribosomal RNA (413 nucleotides) under uncultured bacterium. Its description in RNAcentral is "bacterial SSU rRNA". It matches the Rfam family "Bacterial small subunit ribosomal RNA", at positions 29 to 434 of the family's 1533-position model. The record is from RNAcentral.